This 108-nucleotide small nuclear RNA is filed under the name Propithecus coquereli (Coquerel's sifaka). The record is from RNAcentral. Lineage: Eukaryota; Metazoa; Chordata; Mammalia; Primates; Indriidae.
GUACUCAUUCCAGCAGCACAUAUAUUGAAAUUGGAAUGAUACAGAGAAGAUUAGCAUGUCCUUUGCAGAUGGAUACUAUGCAAAAUUUAACAGGGAAGAAAGCACUCU